AGCCUUUAUCUCCACUCUGCGGAGAUUCACGCCUGGAAAACGCUCUUCUGAGAGGAUCUGUGGAGGUCAACCCAGGAGAGAGAAGACAGGACUGAAGCACUGAAAGGGUCCUGCCGUUAAGGGCGCAGGAUUGUAUAGAAUAUAUAAUAGCAGUAGCAGCUCUGUUUACGGAGCAUUAACCUUACGUGGAGUUAUUUCCUGCAUUUCCUCCUUUCGUCUUUACAAGGUAGCCGUUUGGCGUCGUGAGUAUGUGCCAAAUCUACUAGACAUUGGAGAAACAGUAGGAACAACACAUGGUACCGGCACAUGGAUCUUUCAGGAAAACGAAGUAGGUAAUAAACAGGAAAAAGCCCGAGUCUGAUGCUAAGAAGAACAUAAACAGGAUGCUGAGAGAUUGGGUCUCUCCACAUUGCCCCGGCUGCUCUCCAACCCCUGAGUUCAAGUGAUUCACCUCCCUUGGCCUCCCAAAGUACUGGGAUUACAGGCGUGAGCCACCGUGCCUGGCUGAGAAGAUGGAUUUAAGACAUAUUUUGGAGCGGAAAGUGACCAGAAGAGGUGUGCAGUUUCCAGGCCUGGCCCAUACAGACCUCCAACAGGUGCUCCCCUGUGCUGUUACUCCUUCUGCCAACUGGAAGCAGAUGGUGACCAGGCUCUGGAGAAGGCAAGGCCUGAAGAUGGGAGAUUCCUAAGUGGAGGAGAACUGUGCCUUACUGACCUAAAUAUCCACUCAGUAUUGUUAUGUGAGAAUAAAUAAACUUGUGUUGACCGUUUA
RNAcentral lists this long non-coding RNA (772 nucleotides) under Homo sapiens (human). Lineage: Eukaryota; Metazoa; Chordata; Mammalia; Primates; Hominidae. The record is from RNAcentral.